AGCGUACACGGUGGAUGCCCUGGCAGUCAGAGGCGAUGAAGGACGUGCUAAUCUGCGAUAAGCGUCGGUAAGGUGAUAUGAACCGUUAUAACCGGCGAUUUCCGAAUGGGGAAACCCAGUGUGUUUCGACACACUAUCAUUAACUGAAUCCAUAGGUUAAUGAGGCGAACCGGGGGAACUGAAACAUCUAAGUACCCCGAGGAAAAGAAAUCAACCGAGAUUCCCCCAGUAGCGGCGAGCGAACGGGGAGGAGCCCAGAGCCUGAAUCAGUGUGUGUGUUAGUGGAAGCGUCUGGAAAGGCGCGCGAUACAGGGUGACAGCCCCGUACACAAAAAUGCACAUACUGUGAGCUCGAUGAGUAGGGCGGGACACGUGGUAUCCUGUCUGAAUAUGGGGGGACCAUCCUCCAAGGCUAAAUACUCCUGACUGACCGAUAGUGAACCAGUACCGUGAGGGAAAGGCGAAAAGAACCCCGGCGAGGGGAGUGAAAAAGAACCUGAAACCGUGUACGUACAAGCAGUGGGAGCCUCUUUUAUGGGGUGACUGCGUACCUUUUGUAUAAUGGGUCAGCGACUUAUAUUCUGUAGCAAGGUUAACCGAAUAGGGGAGCCGAAGGGAAACCGAGUCUUAACUGGGCGUUAAGUUGCAGGGUAUAGACCCGAAACCCGGUGAUCUAGCCAUGGGCAGGUUGAAGGUUGGGUAACACUAACUGGAGGACCGAACCGACUAAUGUUGAAAAAUUAGCGGAUGACUUGUGGCUGGGGGUGAAAGGCCAAUCAAACCGGGAGAUAGCUGGUUCUCCCCGAAAGCUAUUUAGGUAGCGCCUCGUGAAUUCAUCUCCGGGGGUAGAGCACUGUUUCGGCAAGGGGGUCAUCCCGACUUACCAACCCGAUGCAAACUGCGAAUACCGGAGAAUGUUAUCACGGGAGACACACGGCGGGUGCUAACGUCCGUCGUGAAGAGGGAAACAACCCAGACCGCCAGCUAAGGUCCCAAAGUCAUGGUUAAGUGGGAAACGAUGUGGGAAGGCCCAGACAGCCAGGAUGUUGGCUUAGAAGCAGCCAUCAUUUAAAGAAAGCGUAAUAGCUCACUGGUCGAGUCGGCCUGCGCGGAAGAUGUAACGGGGCUAAACCAUGCACCGAAGCUGCGGCAGCGACACUAUGUGUUGUUGGGUAGGGGAGCGUUCUGUAAGCCUGUGAAGGUGUACUGUGAGGUAUGCUGGAGGUAUCAGAAGUGCGAAUGCUGACAUAAGUAACGAUAAAGCGGGUGAAAAGCCCGCUCGCCGGAAGACCAAGGGUUCCUGUCCAACGUUAAUCGGGGCAGGGUGAGUCGACCCCUAAGGCGAGGCCGAAAGGCGUAGUCGAUGGGAAACAGGUUAAUAUUCCUGUACUUGGUGUUACUGCGAAGGGGGGACGGAGAAGGCUAUGUUGGCCGGGCGACGGUUGUCCCGGUUUAAGCGUGUAGGCUGGUUUUCCAGGCAAAUCCGGAAAAUCAAGGCUGAGGCGUGAUGACGAGGCACUACGGUGCUGAAGCAACAAAUGCCCUGCUUCCAGGAAAAGCCUCUAAGCAUCAGGUAACAUCAAAUCGUACCCCAAACCGACACAGGUGGUCAGGUAGAGAAUACCAAGGCGCUUGAGAGAACUCGGGUGAAGGAACUAGGCAAAAUGGUGCCGUAACUUCGGGAGAAGGCACGCUGAUAUGUAGGUGAAGUCCCUCGCGGAUGGAGCUGAAAUCAGUCGAAGAUACCAGCUGGCUGCAACUGUUUAUUAAAAACACAGCACUGUGCAAACACGAAAGUGGACGUAUACGGUGUGACGCCUGCCCGGUGCCGGAAGGUUAAUUGAUGGGGUCAGCGCAAGCGAAGCUCUUGAUCGAAGCCCCGGUAAACGGCGGCCGUAACUAUAACGGUCCUAAGGUAGCGAAAUUCCUUGUCGGGUAAGUUCCGACCUGCACGAAUGGCGUAAUGAUGGCCAGGCUGUCUCCACCCGAGACUCAGUGAAAUUGAACUCGCUGUGAAGAUGCAGUGUACCCGCGGCAAGACGGAAAGACCCCGUGAACCUUUACUAUAGCUUGACACUGAACAUUGAGCCUUGAUGUGUAGGAUAGGUGGGAGGCUUAGAAGUGUGGACGCCAGUCUGCAUGGAGCCGACCUUGAAAUACCACCCUUUAAUGUUUGAUGUUCUAACGUUGACCCGUGAUCCGGGUUGCGGACAGUGUCUGGUGGGUAGUUUGACUGGGGCGGUCUCCUCCUAAAGAGUAACGGAGGAGCACGAAGGUUGGCUAAUCCUGGUCGGACAUCAGGAGGUUAGUGCAAUGGCAUAAGCCAGCUUGACUGCGAGCGUGACGGCGCGAGCAGGUGCGAAAGCAGGUCAUAGUGAUCCGGUGGUUCUGAAUGGAAGGGCCAUCGCUCAACGGAUAAAAGGUACUCCGGGGAUAACAGGCUGAUACCGCCCAAGAGUUCAUAUCGACGGCGGUGUUUGGCACCUCGAUGUCGGCUCAUCACAUCCUGGGGCUGAAGUAGGUCCCAAGGGUAUGGCUGUUCGCCAUUUAAAGUGGUACGCGAGCUGGGUUUAGAACGUCGUGAGACAGUUCGGUCCCUAUCUGCCGUGGGCGCUGGAGAACUGAGGGGGGCUGCUCCUAGUACGAGAGGACCGGAGUGGACGCAUCACUGGUGUUCGGGUUGUCAUGCCAAUGGCACUGCCCGGUAGCUAAAUGCGGAAGAGAUAAGUGCUGAAAGCAUCUAAGCACGAAACUUGCCCCGAGAUGAGUUCU
Molecule: ribosomal RNA, 2772 nt
Filed under: Escherichia coli
Lineage: Bacteria; Pseudomonadati; Pseudomonadota; Gammaproteobacteria; Enterobacterales; Enterobacteriaceae
Description: bacterial LSU rRNA
Rfam family: Bacterial large subunit ribosomal RNA
Source: RNAcentral